RNAcentral lists this small RNA (1052 nucleotides) under Pongo abelii (Sumatran orangutan). RNAcentral's name for it is "processed transcript". Lineage: Eukaryota; Metazoa; Chordata; Mammalia; Primates; Hominidae. The record is from RNAcentral.
GAAAUGGCCAAAGAAGCUAAACGACUAAAAGAAUUCUUAGAAGACUAUGAUGAUGAUAGAGAUGACCCCAAAUAUUACAGAGGAAGUGCUCUUCAGAAAAGGUUGCGUGAUAGAGAAAAGGAAAUGGAAGCAGAUGAACGAGAUAGGAAGAGAGAGAAGGAGGAGCUUGAGGAAAUCAGGCAGCGCCUUCUGGCAGAAGGCCAUCCAGAUCCAGAUGCAGAGCUUCAGAGGAUGGAACAAGAGGCUGAGAGGCGCAGGCAGCCACAAAUAAAGCAAGAGCCAGAAUCAGAAGAGGAGGAAGAAGAAAAGCAAGAAAAAGAAGAAAAACGAGAAGAACCCAUGGAAGAGGAAGAGGAGCCAGAGCAAAAGCCUUGUCUGAAACCUACUCUGAGGCCCAUCAGCUCUGCUCCAUCUGUUUCCUCUGCCAGUGGCAAUGCAACACCUAACACUCCUGGGGAUGAGUCUCCCUGUGGUAUUAUUAUUCCUCAUGAAAACUCACCAGAUCAACAGCAACCUGAGGAGCAUAGGCCAAAAAUAGGACUAAGUCUUAAACUGGUUUUACUAGUGCUCCUAUAUCUGCAGCUGCCUCGAGUUCUGAGAAGAAGUGAAAAGUUUAAUUUUCUAGCACUUGUGCUUCCAAUAGUCCUGGUCAGCCUAAUUCUGUGAAGAGAAAGAAACUACCUGUAGAUAGUGUCUUUAACAAAUUUGAGGAUGAAGACAGUGAUGACGUACCCCGAAAAAGGAAACUGGUUCCCUUGGAUUAUGGUGAAGAUGAUAAAAAUGCAGCCAAAGGCACUGUAAACACUGAAGAAAAGCGUAAACACAUUAAGAGUCUCAUUGAGAAAAUCCCUACAGCCAAACCUGAGCUCUUCGCUUAUCCCCUGGAUUGGUCUAUUGUGGAUUCUAUACUGAUGGAACGUCGAAUUAGACCAUGGAUUAAUAAGAAAAUCAUAGAAUAUAUAGGUGAAGAAGAAGCUACAUUAGUUGAUUUUGUUUGUUCUAAGGUUAUGGCUCAUAGUUCACCCCAGAGCAUUUUAGAUGAUGUUGCCAUG